Molecule: ribosomal RNA, 492 nt
Filed under: uncultured bacterium
Lineage: Bacteria
Description: partial 16S ribosomal RNA
Rfam family: Bacterial small subunit ribosomal RNA
Source: RNAcentral
AUUUCCCUCUUUCUUUAGGCCUAACACAUGCCAGUCGAACGGCAGCACAGUAAGAGCUUGCUCUUACGGGUGGCGAGUGGCGGACGGGUGAGGAAUACAUCGGAAUCUACUUUUUCGUGGGGGAUAACGUAGGGAAACUUACGCUAAUACCGCAUACGACCUACGGGUGAAAGCAGGGGAUCUUCGGACCUUGCGCGAUUGAAUGAGCCGAUGUCGGAUUAGCUAGUUGGCGGGGUAAAGGCCCACCAAGGCGACGAUCCGUAGCUGGUCUGAGAGGAUGAUCAGCCACACUGGAACUGAGACACGGUCCAGACUCCUACGGGAGGCAGCAGUGGGGAAUAUUGGACAAUGGGCGCAAGCCUGAUCCAGCUAUACCGCGUGGGUGAAGAAGGCCUUCGGGUUGUAAAGCCCUUUUGUUGGGAAAGAAAAGCAGCAGGUUAAUACCCCGCUGUUCUGACGGUACCCAAAGAAUAAGCACCGGCUAACUUCGUG